Long non-coding RNA from Sinocyclocheilus grahami, 2001 nucleotides. RefSeq lists it as uncharacterized. The record is from RefSeq and is a predicted model, not a curated record. The transcript is spliced from 2 exons. NCBI's taxonomy places the organism in Eukaryota, Metazoa, Chordata, Actinopteri, Cypriniformes, Cyprinidae.
UCCAAUAGCUUUCUUUCAGAAUCGUGGCCCUCUGCAACCACUUGACACGCAUGAUGAAGAAAGGUCACACUAAAACACAGGACAAACCCAAGAUGGGCUACGUAGGUCGAACGGUGGCCAUGUUCGAAAGGGAGUGCGAGAGCGAUCAAGAGGAGGAGGGGAUGCUGAGGAGACCUCGAACCAGGAAGAGAAGUAGCACUUCCUGAAACUCCCUGCUGCUCCUCCGACCGUCCACAAUAUAAACAUCCCAGCCGCAUGCUGGUUUUGAGGUGAACCUGCGGCGUGUUUGGCGUUUCUAAACGCACACAAGCUGAGUUGUUUUUAGCAAGCGUGUUGAGGUCUGAAUGUGGCUUGUUUGUCUUCAUAGAGAUGCAAUUAUUAUUCAUCAGCAUGUCUGUAAACAUGAUGCAAGAAGUGGCAAAUAUAGAAAGAAAACAUUUGUUCAUGUUGUUUAAAGCCGUGCAUAAAUGUAUUAAUGUAUAUAAUGGGAUAAGGAAGAGUUUACUGGAUAUAUUACAAGUUUGUGCGUAAAGUUUACUUGUAUAAUGUUAAAAUACGUACGUUUUAACGUCACUCGCGCCACUUUGCCUUGAGCCUUCGCUGUGUAAUAUGUGCCACAACAUAUUUGCAUUCCUUUAUUGAAAUGUCUUCAGAUUUUAUUGCCUCUCAAAAGUGCAUGAGUGAUAUAGCCAACUUCAUUAUUCUGUAUGAUAUUUGUUAAUUUUAUGUUUAUUGUUUUAUUGCGCAGAUUUUUGUCUCAAGGUGCAGUCACAUUUACUGUUGUUUGGCGAAAGAUUUUCAGACUUCGCAACAGGUUCAAGCUUCUCAAGCAAAUUAAGUAAGCUGCUUGGUUUGAAAAUGAGCUUUAUAUGGCACUACUAUUGACAGUUCACGAUGGACUUGCGAAAUUUCGCUACUGUGAUCAGGAAUUUUGUGUGCAUGUGAAAGAUUUCCUGCAAUUCACUGCAGUUAUCAACCGAAAACUGCUCGGUUUUAAAGUGAUUUUUAAGUGAAAAAUUUGACUAAUGUGACUGCACCUUUUUAAAUUUGCAUUUGACGAAGCAAGUCAGUGCAAAAUGGGCUGGAUUUGAGAUCCAGUGUUAUACUCAGUGUAUUUGCGCUUAAGUGUAUUAAAAUUAGGUCAUUUAUCAAGCCUGAAAAUGACUUGUAAAGCUCUUAAGAUAUUAAUAAUGUAUUAGAUGCCAUUCAUUUUGAUUUCAAAAAUGUAUGUUUAUUGAAAUCAGGGCAGAUAUAAUGCUACAUCAUUGUGUUUUUUUGGUGCAUUGAAAAGUCCAGCCCUCUGUCAGGGAAGGAAGGACAAGCAGGAACUGUUGGCAGUGCUGUUGGAUUGUGAAAUGAAACUUUGUAUCAUUGGGACAUUAUGGUACUUGACAUGUUUCAGGACUGCGCCACCUAUUGGUCAAACGUUUUAAGAAAAUCACAGCUGCUUCAAUGUAAAUUGUUUGUAAUACAGUGCCUUGAGCCUGAAUGUGAGUGUUAGUAUGCUUCACAUACCUCACCAUCAGAAGAGGUUGUAUUCUGUAUGAAUGUAUUCUGUACAAUGGACUUAUAAAUGAGAGGGCUCAAAAGUUCUCAUUUUAUUUCAUUAAAACAUUGUUAGAAAAAAAAAAUCAGUAAUGUUCUUUCUGCUAAAGUAUUAAACCUGAAUCAAUUUUAAACCAUUUUGCAGUGCAUAUUUAUACAUUACAUUAAAUAUAUUUGUUUAUGUGUAUAAACAGGACUAUGUUCAAUGCAUGUUCAUUUACAAUUACAUCACUCCCUGUGCACCAGUCACAUGAUUGCAGGUGUUCGGGGACAAUACAGUGUUGUUUACCAGUAUAAAUCUGCCAGAUUUAUUCCAGAAGUGGAAAGUAAUCAGAAAAUGUGCCUCAAGAAAAAAAUCCCUAUUUAUUUUAUACUCUUGAUAUGACACUGUACUUGUGUUGUUCACACUUAAAGUGAAAUGAACAAAGUUUACUAAGAAUAAAAAAUGCCCCUUUU